This 76-nucleotide transfer RNA is filed under the name Verrucomicrobiota bacterium. RNAcentral describes it as "tRNA-Thr". It matches the Rfam family "tRNA". From Rfam's summary of the family: Transfer RNA (tRNA) molecules are approximately 80 nucleotides in length. Their secondary structure includes four short double-helical elements and three loops (D, anti-codon, and T loops). Further hydrogen bonds mediate the characteristic L-shaped molecular structure. tRNAs have two regions of fundamental functional importance: the anti-codon, which is responsible for specific mRNA codon recognition, and the 3' end, to which the tRNAs corresponding amino acid is attached (by aminoacyl-tRNA synthetases). tRNAs cope with the degeneracy of the genetic code in two manners: having more than one tRNA (with a specific anti-codon) for a particular amino acid; and 'wobble' base-pairing, i.e. permitting non-standard base-pairing at the 3rd anti-codon position. Lineage: Bacteria; Pseudomonadati; Verrucomicrobiota. The record is from RNAcentral.
GCCAGAUUAGCUCAGUUGGUAGAGCAGCAGUUUUGUAACCUGCAGGUCACCUGUUCAAGUCAGGUAUCUGGCUCCA